CUCGUAGGCGGUUCGUCGCGUCCGGUGUGAAAGUCCAUCGCUUAACGGUGGAUCCGCGUCGGGUACGGGCGGGCUUGAGUGCGGUAGGGGAGACUGGAAUUCCCGGUGUAACGGUGGAAUGUGUAGAUAUCGGGAAGAACACCAAUGGCGAAGGCAGGUCUCUGGGCCGUUACUGACGCUGAGGAGCGAAAGCGUGGGGAGCAAACA
Molecule: ribosomal RNA, 207 nt
Filed under: uncultured bacterium
Lineage: Bacteria
Description: partial 16S ribosomal RNA
Rfam family: Bacterial small subunit ribosomal RNA
Source: RNAcentral